UGGUCAUCCAACAGCCUCAAACUCAUCCCUAGUUGACUCACCCGCUUGUGGCAAGUCCUAAGAGACUUCUUUGGUCGCCUAAAGUUGGCCAAAUCCCAAGAUCCAACCGAAUCAAGAGAAGACCUGACACACAACCUGCAAUUUUUACGGCAUCAACCCCUUCCUAGACACUCACCGGCCGCCAAUCUACAAAUUGCCGUUGUUGGAACCUCCAUCCGACUUCUCAGUUAGAAGAUCCGACCGGGUUGGGUCAAGAGAUCUAUUGGAUAAGAGAGAUAAGCUCACCACAGCUUCAGUGAGCCGUGUUUCACCUGAUUUGUCUCCAACUCUACACUGAUAACGUCACUGCCACAUCAUCACUGCCACGUCAGUAAAAAAUUGAAUAUGACUUACCUGACUAAUUUCAACAUUCUAAGUCCAAUUUUGGCAUCCGUAUUUGCAAAGCACAGCUACAAUGGGCUAAAUUUUGUGUUUUCA
RNAcentral lists this unclassified non-coding RNA (477 nucleotides) under Hevea brasiliensis (rubber tree). The record is from RNAcentral. Lineage: Eukaryota; Viridiplantae; Streptophyta; Magnoliopsida; Malpighiales; Euphorbiaceae.